UACGUAGGGUGCAAGCGUUGUUCGGAAUUACUGGGCGUAAAGGGAGCGUAGGCGGGUUCGUAAGUUAGGAGUUUAAUACAUGGGCUCAACCCAUGGCUUGCUUUUAAGACUGCGAAUCUUGAGUAUGGGAGAGGGCGAUGGAAUUCCAGGUGUAGCGGUGGAAUGCGUAGAUAUCUGGAAGAACACCAGUAGCGAAGGCGGUCGCCUGGCCCAAUACUGACGCUGAGGCUCGAAAGCUAGGGGAGCAAACAGG
This 253-nucleotide ribosomal RNA is filed under the name uncultured bacterium. Its description in RNAcentral is "partial 16S ribosomal RNA". It matches the Rfam family "Bacterial small subunit ribosomal RNA", at positions 524 to 776 of the family's 1533-position model. The record is from RNAcentral.